Cercocebus atys (sooty mangabey) is the source of this 897-nucleotide long non-coding RNA. RefSeq lists it as uncharacterized. The record is from RefSeq and is a predicted model, not a curated record. NCBI's taxonomy places the organism in Eukaryota, Metazoa, Chordata, Mammalia, Primates, Cercopithecidae. The transcript has 3 exons.
CACUCGUAGGCCUGGGCCGCAGGCUGCCGACCGAGUGGCCGGGGGGCCUGGCUGCCCCGGGGGCGGGCCGGAGCCGCGGCCGGGGGCGCGGAGCGGAGCUCGGGGCGCCAGGCCGAGCCGAGGUGGGACGGACCGACGCGGAGAGGAAGGGAAGCCGCAUCCCGCGGGCCGCCCCUCCUGAAGCGAGCCGGGCAACGGCCGCGGGCGCCCCUGCCCUGAGCCCACCCCGCGCUCUCCCCUCCCUAACAAUGGGAAUGGGGCAGAAGGAGGCGCCCCACUGCGGAGGGGUGAGGGGUAGGUUUGGGACUGGGGUCCGCGGUGGGGGGAGGUGCGAUCUCGGGCUCUCGCCUCUCCGCUCCCUCUGGCUCUGGAGUUGGGGGCCCUGGUGGGGCUUUGAAGCCUGCCUGAGACUUGGGUCAGGAGUCAAACUGCCGCCCCCCGCUCCUCCCCCAAAAUCCGGUGAGCGGUAAGGAAAGUGAUGCCAAGUCUUCGAAGCCUCAGUGACAAACGCAUAGCAAGAACACAUCCACUCCAGAGAUACCUUAUCGAAACAAAAGAUUUUCCUACCUGCUCAUACUUGGUAACCGAGGGAAUUACUAAGACUUCUUGCUCAUUUCUGAGUAUUGUCUUUAUAUCCUGACACUAUGAAUGCUAUUUGGAUGCCUCUUAAGACGGAGUCUUGCUGUGUCGCCCAGGCUGGAGUGCAGUCGCAGGAUCUUGGCUUCCUGCACCCUCUACCUCCAGGUUCCUGCACCCUCUGCCUCCGGUGGGCCGAGCCGAGGUGGGACAGACUGACACAGAGAGGAAGGGAAGCUGCCUGGCCUGAAGAUCCCAUCUCUAAGAUCACAUUCUGAGGUACUGAAUGUUAGGAGUACUACAUAUCUGUCUUUUUUUUUU